UUAUAAGUUGUCUCCAAAUGAACAAGGCUUUUUUUUUACAUGUGUUAGCUAAAAACUGCCAUUAUAUCUUACCAUUUUGUACAAUUUUUUUAUGUUUUUAGAAGAACACUUUAUACUCAAUUAUUUCAUAUUAAACCUUUUCUUUAUAUUAAUAUAUAAUAAGUUAAUGAUGUUUACAUAAUGCAAUAUAUUGAGACGGGCA
Molecule: long non-coding RNA, 202 nt
Filed under: Mytilus galloprovincialis (Mediterranean mussel)
Lineage: Eukaryota; Metazoa; Mollusca; Bivalvia; Mytilida; Mytilidae
Source: RNAcentral